CCCUUGCUCAUCUCUCUCUCUCUCUCUCUCUCUCUCAAAAUAAAUAAACAAUAAAAUUUAAAUAGCCUAUUUGAACAUGUAUUUUGCUGAUCAUCAAUGUCAUGAACUAGAAGCUGCUGCUGCUCAGCUGCACUAAGUACCCAUUUUUAUUUACCUGUUUUUUUCAUAUAAUGUGGGGUUUUUGGAUAGAUAUUAUUAUUAAAUUAUUACAUAUUAGCAUUAAUAAGCUAUUCUUUCCCAAUCAUUGUUCAUAUUUUAUUUUUGUUUCACAAUUAUUACUAUAUUUAAGUGAAUUCAGUGCUUGGUGUGCAUCUUUUUAUACUACAGAUUCACUUCUUGGUCUCUUUUUGAUUGAUCUUUUGAACAGUUAAGAGUUUCAGGAAGAACUUUGGAAGAUAUCCUUUGUGAGCCUCUACAUUACUAGGGAUGAUUUCUCUUGUGUGUUUUUUGUUUUUUUACUUGAAUUAUAACUUGGCUGAACAUAGGGUUUGGUGGUAACUCUUUCUUUUCCAAAACAUUUUUAAGUGUUUGUUUUGUUUUUUACCUUUCCUUUUAAUGGCUUUUAAUGUUCUAUAGAAGCCAGCUUCACAGGUUUUCUUCUGAAAGAGAUUAUUCUUGUGGGUUCCUCCCCUAGCCUCAGGGAUACAGGAUUUGCUCCCUUUUUCUUGAAAUUCACAACUUCAGAAAGUGAUCGAGAAAGGUAAGACCUCGGAUCAUUCUUGAGAUGUUUUCUAGGUACCCUCACAAACUUAGGAAACAUUAGGAAUGUUUUCAUCUAUUGGUAAAACAUGAGAACAUUUUACCGUGUUAGAAAAGCUUUACUUUUAUACCGUUUGUUAUUUAUUGUCGUAUUUGGGUUUUUUCUUUUUCUUUUUUUUUUUUAUUUUCCAGGAAAUCAGUUAUCCAUUUCUUAAUCUUUAUUUCCUGUCUUCUACUUUAAUCAUCUUUAAUCACACAAUUUUUCUUUUCUCGUCUUUCUGUUGGAGGAGGUCACGGAGAGGACGUGACCGCCAAUUGACGCCGAGGCUGAAUCCGGGCAAUCAGAGCUCAAUCCGGGCACUCAGAGCCCCCUCACCGCUUCCGGUUCUCGUUCUUGAAAUGUUCGCGGAUCCGCCCGCGCGCGGGCGGCUGUAGGGCUCCUGGUUCCUACAAUGGGAAGUGUUUUCAGGGACAAUCUUGAAAGAGCAAGGUGUCGUUGAGACUAUCAGGAUGUGUACGUGACGAACCCGUUAAAGUCUCCGUAUAAUCUUUUAGGAAUCUGACUGGCAGGUGCGGCGUCGCCUCGUCUUCCGGUUGCCCAAGACAAGCCUCCAAAUGAGAACUGAAUUUCUGGCAUAGAAAGAAUUCCACCUUUCAAAGCUUCUACAAUGGAAAAGAAAAGCAUGGAUUUGAGAAACCGAGAGGAGUCCAAUGUUCCAGGGUUUUAGAGAAUUGAAGGCAUCUUAUGAUUGAAAAGACCAUCUGCCACGAGCCCUGAGCAUCUCUGCCCAUUCUUGCUGCAUGGUCCAAAUUGCAAAGCUUACGCUGGUCAUAUAGGCAACGGAAGAGGCCAAGGUGAUCAAAGUGUGACCACCAGGAAUGAGCAAAGAGAAUAUACAUGCUACCACCCUGCUCUCAGUCAAUGGAUACCUUUCUUGUGAGGCAUUAAGAGUUAUCUGGAAAGGCCAAGAGGAUAAUAGCCUAAAAAAUGAUAGAAGCCCUGGCUUGUGUAACUGAAGUCCUUCAGUGGAAUUCCUGUAUAACCAUGGUAGAUUGGUGAAGAACCUACUGAUUCAUUUUGGAGGUGUAUAUAUUAAUGGAUGAGAAGAAACAUUCACUUCAGGUUUUCACUGACAGAGGCAGAGCAGAAAUCAGAUGUCCGAUUCUUGGGUGUCUUUGGAAUAGAUUCUCUCAAGUGUGACUGAUGACACAAAGCUCUACCUGGAUGACUGAGUGGUGUGGACUCUUCAUUUCAAACCCUGGCCCUGGCAUAAAGUCCAUUACUGUCUCUUCAGGGAUGAAGAUACUGGUGCAACAGGUACAUUAGAGAUACUGAUGAGCAACUAUGAUUCUUCAACUUUGAUCUCAGCCUUUGACCCCGUGCUUGACUGACUCUGUGUGGGAUCAGCGACAGAGAGAGAUAUUAGGGGAUGACGUGAAUGGAAGAGGAGAAACAGACAACAGAGCAUACUGCGGGACAAAAAGAUUCUGGGAACCAAUUUAUGGAGGAUUAUGGUAUACAAUCGAGAAGCUCAUAAACUGAUACUUUGAAUAACACUUUCAGAAAGACCUUCUAUAAUUUGAAGAUUAAAUGUUGUGCUUUGAGAGACCUGUAUUAACCUACCAUAAGAGAGCACUUCCCAAAUAUGUUUGUUAACAUGUGAGAGUUGGAACCAAGUCCUGAUUAAUUGUAUACAGCAGAUUAGUUAUUGAUGAAAAGGAAUCUGAGUGAGAGAUGAACCUCUUAGGAAGAUAAGCACAACGGAUUCUAUGGUCUACAUCCCUUUCUUCUACCCUUGGGUAAGUCAUUUCAUCACUUUUUCCUUAGCUUUCUACAUGCAAAAUGAGGAAAUAAUAAUACCUACCACAUAAAUGUGUUGAGGAUUCCGACAGUGCUGGUACAUAGUUCAUUAUUUUCUGUACAAUCAUCAUCCAUGAGAUCGAUGGAAAGCGAAGUAGAACAAGAGGGUAGUGUGACUUUUAGAGGAAACAUGUCUUAAUAUGAAUCCUAUGGCCAGAAGGUACAAUCGUGGUCUCAGAACGAGGUCCCACAUUGAAAGUCACAAGAGCAAUUGUUGGCAAGCAUUGCUCUAUAAUUGGUUAAUUUCUCACAUGGACAUAUCUAUUUUAUGUUGUCUAUGUGAUGCCUAUAAAGACUAUUGCCUCGUUCAUCAGUUUAGGGAAGAUCGUGAAGACAUAGUAAUUACUAGAAUGUAUUCAGUACUUUUUUGUUUGCCAGGCACUGUUGUAAGAGUUUUGCAUAUUGCUUAAUUUGUACAUAAAAAUUAGGUAAGUACUGCUAUUCUCACUUUACAAAUGAGGUGACUGAGGUUAACUGAUUUCACUUGCUGGUGGUCACACAGCAAAUAAGUAAAAACUGCAGUUUGAAACUAAGUCACCUGAUUCUAAAAUCUGAAUUCUUCAUCACCAUAUUAUGGUGUCACCUUUGUAAUAUAUACAUUCUAUAUAUGCAUUUGCUGUGUGUUUGUUUCUUGUUCUAGAAUUGGAUUUUAACCUGGUUCCACAACUUAUUAAUUUUAUGUCCUUAAGCAAUUUUAUUGGCCUCCAUGGGGAUAAUGAUAACAACAACAUAGGGUAAUGGAAGGAUUAAGUGGCCAGAUACAAGUACUGUACAAGUACAAAACAAGUACUGUUUUGAAAAGUACUGGGGACAGAGAAAGCACUUAAUACAUGUUGUCUUUGUUAUAUUUUCAUUAUUGCUUAAUGAUUUUGUUAUAUCAAUCCAUCUUUAUUACUGACUAUGCCGAUAGCAACCUUUAAAAAUUUUAUAUCUUUACUGUAUAUAUAUUAAAAUAUUUUGUAGAGAUACACAAUAUUUGAAAGUGUCUUAUAGCCAUUAGCAAUCUCUAUUUCACAAUGUAAAGGGAUCUAUGGUCAUUAACAAAAUGGUUUUGAGUAGAGGAGUUCUAUCAUCACAGAAGACUAAGUGGUAACAGAAUUUGGCACAGUGCCUUGUCCAUAGUAGGCUCUCAAUAAAUAUUUGAUAAACUAAUGAAUAAAUAGCACUUAUUCCAAUAGUGCCUUACUAGAGAACAAACAGAGGAAAUGACAAUGUUAGCUCUAAUACCAUGGUUAACCACGAGCACAGAAGGAAACUCAGCCCAACUGAACAAACACAAUAUACUUAAAACUAAAACACUUAGUAAUGCCAUAAAUCUUGCAGGGAUCCAAAGAAAUCCCUAGGAAAAAAUAAUGGAAGAGUCACAGAGAAGUUAAGACUUAAGAUCUGACAGGUUAAUAGAUUUUAUUUACUGGGGGAAAAGGCACCCCACUCAUUAAACCACAUGUAUAACAAAUGAAAACAUUACCUCCUAGUGUUAGGAUUGGUAUGGGGAGUAAUUAUUAAAUAUACUUUUCCUACAUUAUGACCUAUGCAGUAUAUUAUGUAUAUUUCAUGUAGAUUUAUAUAAAUUCAUAUGUAUCUGAUAGUUUUGCUCACCCAUUGCCGCAAUAAUGCUGCCUAGCAAACCAUUGCAAAAUUUAGCGGCUUAAACAACACACUUUUAUUCUUAUGCUCACCUGACUGUAGGCCAGUUAUGGUUCAGCCAAUCUAAGAUACAUUCUGUCGGGUGUCUCUACUUCAUGGUGUGAGUAAACUAGGUUUAACCCCAUGGUAUGGGUUGGGUUCAGACCCACUAUGAUUUUCUCACAUCCACCCUAGCCCAGUGAGGCAAAUUCUUCUUACAGUGAGUGGCAGGAAGUCAAGAGGCCAAUCUGAAGGCCUCUACUUCUGUCAUAUCCAAGAACUGUCCUUUGGCCAAAGCAAGUCACCUACAGUGGUGUAUCAAAAUGUCCUCACUCACCCCAGUGCACCACAGCAGGAAUGUACUUCCAUGCAAGGAACCGUAAGCGUGCCUAUAUUGUCAAUUUGAAGAAGGAAAUAGAAACAAACUUUGUCAGUCUUCCUUAGAAAACAAUGAUAGACUCUGAGUCAGUAAUAAGCAAAACAGGUAGACAUUUGGGUAAGAGAAUAUAGAGGGUAUAGAAAAAUUUGAGACCGAGAAGUAGGGGGAAGGUGUGACUAUAGAAAGCACAUUUGGGGCACUGCCUGCUCUUGGAGUGGAAACACAGAAGAAUUGAAACAAGAAUCCAGAGUCAAGCAAAGAAAACCUGGACUAACAAAUAGGCUCCAAAGUCAGGAGCCAGCAAACAAAAUUCAGACCUUGAGUCUCCCUAAACUGAAAUGUGCAUGCCUUCUAUUAAAUUAUACUUAUCUACAUGAACAUAGUUUGUAACAACAAACAUCAUUGCUUCUUGCUUUGUAAUACAUGUAAUUUUAUUUCAUGCAGUUGGUAAAAUUCUAAGAUGGCCAACACCUAUUUAUAAUAUUCUCUCUUUGCAUGUAGUGGAACCUGUAACUUGCAUCUAACCAAUAGAACAUGGCAAAUAUGAAGGGAUUGAUGAUGUAAUUAAAAUCAAACUAAACAGUUUAAUCAAAAGGGAGAUUAUUCUGGGUGGGCCUGUCAUAACCAGAUGAGCUCUUUUUUUUUUUUUUUUUUUAAGUUUAUCUGUUUUGAGAGAGUGAGAACUAGCAGUGGGGAGGGGAAUACAGAAAGGGAGAGGGACAGAGAAUCUGAAGUGGUCUCUGUGCUGACA
Molecule: long non-coding RNA, 5316 nt
Organism: Felis catus (domestic cat)
Lineage: Eukaryota; Metazoa; Chordata; Mammalia; Carnivora; Felidae
Exons: 10
Source: RefSeq, a predicted model, not a curated record